AUCCUCCCUACGGUCGCGAGCUGGAUACGGUGGCCAGAAGCAGGGGAGGUCGUUCCCGCCGACGGGAUCCAGUUCGAGGGAAGCGGCGGCGCCGGGUCUAACCGCAACCUCCUCGCUAGGGCGGUGCUCAUCCACAUCGACGCACUACACGCCGGGGUCAGCACUACCCAUUCCUCGCCUCACUCCACCUCUUCAGGUACUCCUGCUACAGCAAGCUAGGACAAGAGGUCAGUGAGGUCUCUAUAGGAGAGGCGCUGCCGUGUUAGUCUUGUGUCUCCUCUAGUCAUCUCCAUUCUUACGUCCCUGAUUGAAUCUGGAUCUGGAGAUUUCACCGGCUGCCGACGAGUCACCAUAGUGUAACUACCAUCGGUCUCAUCUGUAAGUUUGGUCACUGCCUCCACCUUCAUGCACCCACGACCCAUGAGCUGGUGCUCCGCCCUGCAUCCCUCGUACCAGGCAGCCUCCAACCCCCUCAUGGCAUCCCUACCCAUUUUUGAUAGACUGAAACUUGUUUCUGUCGCCAAUAAUGCUUCAGAAUAUUUUGUGUGUGAUGAGCUUGACAUCUUAACGGGGAUGGUAAAUUGUGGUAAGGCAAUUCCAUAGAAAUUAAUCACUUGUGCCAAUUCUAAUGAGAGUAGAAGGAAACAACCAUGUUAUGUGAAAUUAAAAUGCUUAUGUUAAGGCCCUAUAAUAUUAGAGCGAUUAUCUUUCUGAAAAAAGUGAUAAGAGUAUUAGUAGCUCAAUUUGUCGAGGGCGCAGUUAAACAUUCGAUUAGUUGUAUUUUUUUUUUGGUUGUUGCUAAGAAAUUUCAAUAUCAUAUCUGAAGGUUAAAGUGAUUCUCAGUUCAUAGGAUGACCAUGUUCUCGUUGUAUUUGAGUUAUGUACAUUUGGGCCUUCAUACAAGUUAUUUACCUUACAGUGAUAUCUGCGUGUUUGCAUUGCAGGUCGUUGUCAAUCUGUAUAUUCUAACAGCUUUGGGAGGUUUGCUAUUAGGCGAUGUUGGGCCUACCUUUAUUCAGGGGUAUUCAGUUGAACACCCACUAUUUUUGGCAAAAUAAAUCAUAUACAUAUCAUGUAUAUAUAUGACAGACUCACGUAUUCAUUCCUUCCUGCUCAUGUGGUCACACCCUGUUGAGUGAUCAACAAUCGGUGAUUUUUCUUUCCUGAUCGUGCCUUAGGUUGUGAGUACCGAGAUGAAGAAGCGUAUUCUGAUUGAGUGGUUUCGUGUUUUGUACUGAACACUUGUUGAACAUAUGUAUUUUAGAUUUUUUUUUUUGCUUUGAAUACCAAUAGAUAAAAUUCUGCACGCGUCCUUAGUUCCUUACGCUGGUAAAUCCAGUAUUCCGCCACACUGGUUGAUACUACUUGUGUAUCCUUACUUCUGAAGUUCAGAUUUGUUGGUAUACCAUAUACUGCAUUCUCAUUUUGUUGUCAUUAUCGGCUUUGUGCAUCUUCUGCCUCUACAUGUUUGCACAAAGCUCCAACCUGUUUGAUCAGCUCCCUUGUUGGGUUCCCAUAGAAGAAGAGACUCUCAUCUCCUCUUGGCUGCAAUGGAAGAGUAGAAAAUUGUGGACAUCGUAGACAUGUCCACUUUAUCAUUGUGUGUGUAUCAAUUUGCUGACAGAGACAAUUGAAUCAAGUAAUUUAGUAUGAACUUCUUGAGUGCAGGGGUAAAUAAAGGUGCAGCAACAUCAAGGGCUGUCGCACGAGGACGCAAGUGGAGCGAUCGUGGAAACACCGGGAUGCUUAUCAUCACCUACGAGGACGAGCAUAGCCAUGGACAUCCACUCAACUUGUCAGCGCUCGCCGCUGAUUCAGAAGCCUGACUGAAGCUGCCUAUGCCAGAAGAAGAUAGGAGACCUCUGAAUUUUUAUGCCAUUGAGGGAACAUGUCAUUUAGCUGCUCUUUGGUUAUUCAGUUUGACAAAAAAUCAGAAUGCAAGAGAAAUUUGUAACACGAAGGCAAAUGUUUGCCCGCGAUCUUUUUCAAGAUGUAUAAUGGAUACUUGAUUGGGGUGUAAUGCAUUCACCUUCUGAAAUAUUUUAUCAAUAAAAUUGCUCCAUGUGAUUGUCAAAUUUCCUUGUAGAAAUAGCUUUGUAAGUUUGUUUUUCUAAUGUGUGUGUGUGU
This 2127-nucleotide long non-coding RNA is filed under the name Triticum aestivum (bread wheat). RNAcentral describes it as "long non-coding RNA (TAES_LNC014071)". The record is from RNAcentral. Lineage: Eukaryota; Viridiplantae; Streptophyta; Magnoliopsida; Poales; Poaceae.